RNAcentral lists this long non-coding RNA (2492 nucleotides) under Mus pahari (shrew mouse). RNAcentral's name for it is "lncRNA (MGP_PahariEiJ_G0005702.1)". The record is from RNAcentral. Lineage: Eukaryota; Metazoa; Chordata; Mammalia; Rodentia; Muridae.
UGCUGCCUCCCUGGCACUCAGGGCACCAGGAUGCUUGUUUGCAGAGCUGGCGGCCAGCAGCUUGGAGCAGCUGGUUGUAAUUAUGCACUGCAGCUUCAGAGGAAGUUCCUGGCUGGGAGAGCGUGUGCUGGGCCUGGCUGCACAUUGGCUGCUGGGCUUCAGGGAACAAAGAAGCUGGAAACCAGUUGCAGCAGAGAACAAGAUGGGGCGAAGGCAGGCAAAAAGAAAGGAUAGGGUCUCUCACUGGACCAGGAGCUCCAUGAUGGGCUAUUGAGCAAACCCACAAAUCCUCUCAUCUCUAACUCCCCAGUGUUGGAUUACUGUCGUGCUAUCAGGCUCAGCUUCCUAUAGGAGUGCUGGUGACAGAGCUCAUGCCUUCCUGUUCCUGGAGCAGGCGCCUUACAGACCGGGCCAUCUCUCCAGCAUCCCCGAUCACUUUCAUUUUGAUCCCUCCUGAUGUGGAGAGAAUAAACCUCCGUAUCAGAGGGAACGGGGUUUGAGUCUAUUAGCGUGUCCCUCUGACAAGUCGCUCACUGCUCUUCCUCGCUGUAAGAAGUGGCUAGUGAUACACACGCCUACAGCGGUGGGUGCUUAGACUAAGUCAUAGAGUCCAGCACUCUUUAGUAUUAGGUUCCAUACUUGGGAAAUAGCAGUCGGAACAUUGUAAUUCUGUCCCCAUGGGGCUGCAAUUAAUUUAUAAUUACAAAUACAGAGACUGUAAUUAAUUAAGCUAAACCGUCGAUUAGGAUGUACACCUACAAUAGCACCUUGAUUUUACAUGUGGCUGUCAACAGAGCAAGCUCUCCUCCCUGUUUUGUUUUUUUUUUAAAGAAUUUAUUCAUUUAUAUGUAAGUACAAUGUAGCUGUCUUCAGACACUUUUUUCUUCUCUCUCAGUCCCCGCUCACUCCCGCCCUGCUCUCUCUGAGCCAAAGAUUUAUUUAUUUAUUAUACAUAAGUACACUGUAGCUGUCUUCAGACACACCAGAAGAGGGCAUCAGAUUUCAUUACGGAUGGCUGUGAGCCACCAUGUUGCUGGGAUUUGAACUCAGGACCUUCAGAAGAGGAGUCAGUGCUCUUAACUGCUGAGCCAUCUCUCCAGCCCUCUCCUCCCUGUUUAUUCACAGAAAAUGGCCACACAAAAUCUGAUGUAUGGAAAAAUAGACAAUAGGAGUCCUAUCCAAGCUCCAGGCUUCCAUAUGACUCAAGAUCAUAUGGGUCCCAUCCCCACCUGCCACCAGCUCGACUCAGAUUGGAAGGUCAGGGAGCACUGCCUGAUGCCUACCACAGGUCAAUCUUCUGAUCACGACAUGUGGGCACUCAAUCCAUGGCCCCCAUAGGGUCUUGAGGGUGAUAUCCUUUGGUGGGUUUACUGAUUUAAUUUCUAGUUCCUCCUGGAAACAUCUGCAGGGACACUACAGAAAUAAUGUGCUACUAGCUACUUGGGUGUCUACCGGAGAUGCGCCUCAGCCCUAACUUGGAAGUUCGAGAGGAUGGCAUUAAGUUCAAGUCCAUGAGCAGCACAUGGCCACCACUGAACCAAUCGCUAUGAUGCAAUGGGCAUCAUGUAGACUUGAAUCAGAAGUCUGCCUAUCCCAGGAUCCAGGGGCAGAGGCAUUCCUACAUAAACUAUGUGGAAAGAACAUUAUGUUGGAGAUUUGCCAAUGUUACUACAGAAGAGAGAACAUUUUAAGAGUCUGUACAGUGAAUCCAGAUUGUCUACCUAGUGCAUUGGUUAGGUCCAGUCAGAUAGCAGAACCCACCUCAACUGUGUUACCAUAACAAAUAGAACACGCGAUGGAUUUCAUACUUAGACAGUGCAAGAGUGGUAGCUAAUUACCUCUGGACUGUUGGUGAAAGUGUUCCAGAAGAGAUUAGCACGCACAUCAUAAGACUCAGUAAUGAAGACAGCACUCACCGGUUCUGGGAGACGUCACCCAAUCUCCUGAAAAGGCGUAGAACAGAAGGUAAAGGAAUAAGGAGCCUCUCUCUGCUGGAGCUGGGACCCCAUUGCUCCCUGCCCUCCCUGACUACUGGGACUCCAUCUCUCCUGGCCUGCCAGGACCCCUUCCUUCCCUACCUGGCCUGCUGGGACUCCACCCCUCCUUGCCCUCAGACAUUGGUGCUUCUGGUUUGGGGAUCUUUAGACUUGUAAUGAGUGACAUUGCAAACCCUCCUGGUGUCCAGGUGGUAGACCGCAGUUCAUGGAACAUUCUAGCCUCUACAACUGCAGGAGUAAAUCCCUCAUGUGAAAUAACUCUCUCCGUGCUUCUACCCACACAUAUAGCUAGGUAUAAACGGCACAGAUAUCAUUUUUAGAUAUAGAUUAUACAUGUGGAUGAUACAGAUCAUAUAUGAGCUUGAAACCAUGCGUCCAGUCCCCAGAACCCAUAUCGUAGAAAGAGAGAACUGAUUCUGACAACGUGUCUUCUGACCAUGGACCAUGGCCAUGCACGUGUUAAAUCACAUACACACGCAAAAUGAAUGUGAACCA